RNAcentral lists this ribosomal RNA (455 nucleotides) under uncultured bacterium. RNAcentral describes it as "bacterial SSU rRNA". It matches the Rfam family "Bacterial small subunit ribosomal RNA", at positions 340 to 786 of the family's 1533-position model. The record is from RNAcentral.
UACGGGAGGCAGCAGUGGGGAAUAUUGCACAAUGGGCGCAAGCCUGAUGCAGCCAUCGCCGCGUGUAUAGAAAAAGGCCUUCGGGUUAGUAAAGUACUUUCAGUCGUGAGGAAGGUGUUAAGGUUAAUAACCUUAGCAAUUGACGUUAGCGACAGAAGAAGCACCGGCUAACUCCGUGCCAGCAGCCGCGGUAAUACGGAGGGUGCGAGCGUUAAUCGGAAUUACUGGGCGUAAAGGGCACGCAGGCGGUUAAUUAAGUUGGAUGUGAAAUCCCCGGGCUUAACCUGGGAAUGGCAUUCAAGACUGGUUAGCUAGAGUCUUGUAGAGGGGGUAGAAUUCCAUGUGUAGCGGUGAAAUGCGUAGAGAUGUGGAGGAAUACCGGUGGCGAAGGCGGCCCCUGGACAAAGACUGACGCUCAUGUGCGAAAGCUGGGGAGCAAACAGGGAUUAGAUACC